RNAcentral lists this small RNA (348 nucleotides) under Pan troglodytes (chimpanzee). RNAcentral's name for it is "retained intron". Lineage: Eukaryota; Metazoa; Chordata; Mammalia; Primates; Hominidae. The record is from RNAcentral.
CAGACUGGCCCUGAUGAGACCACCCCCUAGAAGCGGAACCUUGGCGCUUGACCUUGAGGAGGCCACCUGGGCUGGGCCGGGGGAAGACAGGCCAGGGUAGACAGGCCCCAGGGACAGAGGCCAGGCAGGUCAGUGCCCACCAGCCCUGGCAGAGCCCUGCUCCUCACAGCUCCUCAGAGUGGAACAACGUGGACCCAUAUGAACGGGACCAGCUACGGGUCAAGAUGGAGGACGGGGAGUUCUGGAUGUCAUUCCGAGACUUCAUGCGGGAGUUCACCCGCCUGGAGAUCUGCAACCUCACACCCGACGCCCUCAAGAGCCGGACCAUCCGCAAAUGGAACACCACAC